This 576-nucleotide long non-coding RNA is filed under the name Ricinus communis (castor bean). RNAcentral describes it as "long non-coding RNA (RCOM_LNC002855)". Lineage: Eukaryota; Viridiplantae; Streptophyta; Magnoliopsida; Malpighiales; Euphorbiaceae. The record is from RNAcentral.
UCCCAUGUAGGCGCCAUGCCCUUAUUUUCUUCUUCUAUUUUUCAAUUUCUUGUUUUUUUUUUUUUUUUUUUCUUUUUUGUGAUUUGAUGUCUUGGAUGAGUGUUUUGUUGGUUCUUUUGUAUAUUUUUUAUGAAGGAUUGUAACGCUUGCCNNNGGGAGCUGCUGGAGGUGCAAGGGAAUGACAGAGGAAGUUGGUUCUUUUCACGUAGACAACCUCACCAGCUUUGUUCCUCCAUAUCUAGAAGAAAGGCGAUGGUUGAGGUAGCGAUAGUGCAUUGAGCUUCCUUUGCCGGUCCGAUUUGCUUAGUGGAUGUGCGUUUUUCAGUCUUAAACCUUUCUUUUCGGUGUGUUCAAAACCCGUGAGUACCCGUGUGAAGUCCAGCCUCCUAUGUUGAUGAAGUUGCUGGGGAAGGAAAGGGAUGUUUCUAGCGACAUGAUUUUAGUGCAGGGACUGUUUGGUAUUUUUUUCAAUAAUUGUAGGCCGUAGAACUGAAUUUAUUUUGCACUUUUAAGCCCAAUUCUUUAAGUAUUACGGACUUUAAACUUAUUUUAUUGAACCUUUUUAUCUAAUUCAAC